RNAcentral lists this ribosomal RNA (218 nucleotides) under uncultured bacterium. RNAcentral describes it as "partial 16S ribosomal RNA". It matches the Rfam family "Bacterial small subunit ribosomal RNA", at positions 15 to 212 of the family's 1533-position model. The record is from RNAcentral.
GAUCAUGGCUCAGGACGAACGCUGGCGGCGUGCUUAACACAUGCAAGUCGAACGAGAAUCUGUGGAUCGAGGAUUCGUCCAAGUGAAGCAGAGGACAGUGGCGGACGGGUGAGUAACGCGUGAGGAACCUGCCUUUCAGAGGGGGACAACAGUUGGAAACGACUGUUAAUACCGCAUGAUACAUUUGGGUGGCAUCAUCUAGAAUGUCAAAGAUUUAU